Molecule: ribosomal RNA, 532 nt
Filed under: uncultured bacterium
Lineage: Bacteria
Description: bacterial SSU rRNA
Rfam family: Bacterial small subunit ribosomal RNA
Source: RNAcentral
GCCCGAUUAGCUAGUUGGUGAGGUAACGGCUCACCAAGGCAAUGAUCGGUAGCUGGUCUGAGAGGAUGGCCAGCCACACUGGAACUGAGACACGGUCCAGACUCCUACGGGAGGCAGCAGUGGGGAAUCUUGCACAAUGGGCGAAAGCCUGAUGCAGCGACGCCGCGUGGGGGAUGAAGCUUUUCGGAGUGUAAACCCCUUUCGACUGGGACGAAUGCCUCGCAAGAGGAGUGACGGUACCAGUAUAAGAAGCCCCGGCUAACUACGUGCCAGCAGCCGCGGUAAGACGUAGGGGGCCAGCGUUGUUCGGAAUUACUGGGUGUAAAGGGUUCGUAGGCGGUGUGGCAAGUCGGGAGUGAAAUCUCUGGGCUCAACCCAGAGACUGCUUCCGAAACUGCUGUGCUUGAGUGUGAGAGAGGCUCGUGGAAUUGCAGGUGUAGCGGUGAAAUGCGUAGAUAUCUGCAGGAACACCCGUGGCGAAAGCGGCGAGCUGGAUCACUACUGACGCUGAGGAACGAAAGCUAGGGGAGCA